ACAUGUUUUAAAUAUUUACUGCAACAACAAUACUCUUCCUCCUCGUAUACUCAUAUGUCCCACAUUCGUUGUAAAAAUAUCAUCAUUAUUAUAUUAUUAAAAUAUAAUAAUAUAUUUAAAUGAAUUUCAAUUUUCAAAAAUUGUAACAUUAAAAUUUUCUCCAUCUAUAUCCACAUAAAAUCAAUAUUUUCCUCAUCAUACGAAUCAAUAAUUAAUUAUUCACAAAUAAUAUUACAGAAUCACAAUAUUGACAACCAGACAGUUCCCAGGAAAGAGGGGGCUUUCCAAUAAGAAUUUCUCCUUACUAGCGCGCAAUUAAGUGACCAAACUUCUCCUUAGACAGAACUUUCUAGACAUUGCCAAUAAUGUUAUCUAAUAAUAUUAUUCAGAUAAUAUAAAUUAUUGCUUCGAUAAUGAAAAAUACCGUGUACUGACAAUUAUUGAAACAACAGCAAUAUAAAAUAUCAACGCAGCAAUUAUUAAAUCAAUAAAAUAAAAUACUGAACAGUAGUUACUGUAACUAUUAUUGAGUAGUGUCUUCUUACGUAAGAAUCAAUAAUUGGUGCAAUACCGUGUGCUACUGUUCAACAACGCGUAUUAGUGUGUUUUAACCACCGGGUAUUCCAACAGUAUUAACGGUAACAACUACGUCGUUAUUUAUAACUCAUACUUGUCUUUUUCUUCAUCCAAUCGUUUUCCGUUAUGGUGCCCACAAAAGACUGCGUCAUCGUACGAAUAUUCCCCGACAGUAAGAAUAUUCCACGACCAAACAAAUAUUCCCCGACAAUAAUAAAUAUUUUAUAAUCACUAGCUUAUUCGAAAUAUUUACAUAUUUUACCCAUAACUAUCCACAUUAAUCAAAUCAACUCUUACUAUUUUAAAAUAAUAAAUAAAAAAAAAUAAAUUUCAUUUAUUAAUGAUUUGAGAUCUUAUAUAAUUUAAUUUAAAUAAAAUGAGGCCGAAUUUUUCUUCCACCCCUCUAGUAUAGGACGGAGGGAGUCAUGUGUAUCCCCAGUCUAGGUCCCACCUUAAUUAAACCUCAGCUCACGUUACACAGUGAAAGACACUUUAAUACAAUUUGGCAUCACCCAGAAGGAGGAGA
Molecule: long non-coding RNA, 1102 nt
Filed under: Panax ginseng (ginseng)
Lineage: Eukaryota; Viridiplantae; Streptophyta; Magnoliopsida; Apiales; Araliaceae
Description: long non-coding RNA (PGIN_LNC016322)
Source: RNAcentral